GUUCUAAUAUCGAGGUUUUGCCAUCAGAGAUAGGACAAUUGACUCGUCUUCGGUUGUUAGAUCUGGAAAAUUGUCACCAGCUCACAGAGAUUCCACAAGGUGUCAUAUCCAAUUUGUCUCGUCUGGAAGAAUUAUACAUUUUAGAUGAAUUUGGGCAUAGGGAGGAAAGGAGCAAAGUUAAUCACUUUACAGAUUCACAUACCAAAUGUCAUGCUAUUGCCCAAGGACUUCUGCUUUGAAAACUUGAUCAGAUUUAAAAUAUCAAUGGGUAUGGGUACGAAUUAUGGUUUUUAUGGAGCUUAUUCAAAGUGGUGUAAACUUGUGGGUGUUUCCUUAACGGACAAGUUUAUCGUUUUGUUGCGGAGAGCUGAAGCGCUACAUUUGCAAAAAAUUGAAGGUUUACAAGAGGUGCUGCAUGACAGAGGUGGAGAGGGGUCUUUGAUGGAACGUCAUUGACUAAAUCCAUCAGGGUUCUUCAAUAAUUUAAUUCAAUUAAGAAUUCGAGAUUGUAGGUUGAAAUAUCUCUUCUCCCUGUCCUGUGCAAAAGGAUUUCCACGACUUCAGUUCCUGGAAAUAUGGAAUUGUGAAAUGAUGGAAGCAAUAGUUGGAAUUGAAGAAGAAAAAGAUGAAGAUGAACUCUCAAGUCAGGUAAUUUCAGUCAGUUGGAAUAUUUGCGUCUCUGGAAUCUACCCAAGCUCAUAAGCUUCUACACCAAAGUGGAGAAGAUGUCAACAUAUGAAGGAAAUUCUUCUACCCAGGCACAAUUUUUGUUUAAUGAAAAGGUUACAUUCCCUGCCUUGGAGAGUUUGACUAUUGAUGGACUAACAAUGAUAACAAAGAUAUGGGAUAGGAAAUUACUUCCAUUAGAGUCUUUUCGACAAUUGAGAAGCAUGACCAUCCGGAGCUGUGAGAAACUGGUGAAUGUCGGUUUGUCCAUUAUGCCUCGACAAUUACCAAAACUAGAACACCUUCACGUUAGUUAUUGUCAAGAGUUGAAAGUAACAGUAUUAAAGAAUGGGGGGGAAGAAGAAGACAAAGAAGAAAACAACAAUAAUACCAACUCGUUCCUUCAACUAAGGAGUUUGACACUUGAAGAUUUGUAGAGCCUCAAAAGCUUUUUCACCUCUAGAUCUGAAACACAAUCCCUCUUCACUAGCCAGGUUGCUUUCCUAGUCUUGGAUUAUUUGGAAAUUCAGAAAUUGCCCAACAUAAUAGAGAUAUGGGACAAGCAAUUACUCAUAGCUUCAGAAAAAGAAUCAAAGUCCUUCUGCCAACUGAAAGAUAUGACGGUUUCUGAUUGUGAGAAAUUGGUGCAUGUGGUUCAGUUCAAUAUGCUCCCACGACUGCAAAAUCUAAACAUAUUCAAGGUAGAUAAUUGUCCGAAGGUGGAAGUGAUAGUCUCAGAGAAAGAAAAAGAAGAAGGAACCACCAAAAAUGAUAUUAUCGUGUUAUCUCAAUUAACGAAACUUACUCUUCAGAAUUUGAUGAGCCUUAAAAGUUUUUACAACUGGUCUACAAGAUUUGAAGCACAACCCUUGUUCAACAACCAGGUUUCUUUUCCAAGGUUGGAGACACUAAUUCUCAAUAAUUGUGUAAACUCAAAGGAGAUACAUCCUUGGAAUGUUCAAGUUGGCAAAAUAAAUUUAAAAUUCUUGGACGUAGCAAAUCUGAACAAAUUAAUUGUGAGAAAUUGUAGUGAGGUGGCAGAUGUUUUUCAACUUGAGGAGCUAAAUGUUGGAGAAGGACAACAUGUUAGGCCAUUAAUUGAAGUAAGAAUGAUGGAAUUGGAUGCGUUACCUCAGUUGACAUGUUUAUGGAACAAGGAUCCCCAUGGAAUUCUGGGCCUUCAAAUCCUACAAUACCUAACAAUUAAGAAAUGUUACCUCUUGAGAAAUCUAUUCACAUGUUCCACAGCCAUGGCUCUUCAACAACUUAAAGUACUUCAUUUGGAGUCUUGUCCGGUGAUGGAAGAAGUUAUUGCAGCAACAGAGGAUGGCCUCAAGGAAGUGAUUGAUGAUGUGAUUGAAUUCCCAAAGUUGGAGUGGCUAAUACUGAAAGAUCUACCAAACCUCAACAGUUUCUGUAAUGCGAAAUAUAAUUUUAAUUUUCCAUCAUUGCAAAGAGUUGUUUUGAAGAGGUGUCUGAAUAUGCACAACUUUACUUUUGGACAAGUACGCAUGUCACAGAUAUUUGUAAGUACACAUGGCAAUGAUGGCCUUCAAAUAGAAGAUCUCAAUAAGUAUUUAAAAGAACGACUUCUUUUGAAAGGAGAGGAAUGCGCAACUGUGGAUGAAAAUGAUCACCGCUGCGACGAAGUACAGUUCUCCUACCUUAAGCGGCUAUAGGAGUAAAACAGGUAAUUGAUAGAAUCAUUGGCAGCCAGCAAACCUUUUCCCUAUUAGGACACUCUCUGUUACCUUGGUGCAACUUGAGUUCAGUUAUAUAUGAUCGAGUUCAAGUUGCUGAGACUGGAGUAUGCUGGAUUACCCUCCUACAGUCAAUGGCAAACUUAUUGUUUCUUCCAAUAAGUUAAAAAGCAAAAAAAUAAAAAUAAAUUGCAAAACUAUUUAGCUACCUAUAGCUGUAUAAGAAAUGAUAUGUGUGUGUGUGUGAGAGUGUGUGUGUGUGUGUGUGUGUGUGUGUGUGUGUG
Non-coding RNA from Camellia sinensis, 2650 nucleotides. NCBI's taxonomy places the organism in Eukaryota, Viridiplantae, Streptophyta, Magnoliopsida, Ericales, Theaceae. The record is from RefSeq and is a predicted model, not a curated record.